AACGCGUAUAGAAUCUGCCCUGUACUGGGGAAUAGCCCAGAGAAAUUUGGAUUAAUGCCCCAUGGUAUGUUUAAGCGGCAUCGCUUUUACAUUAAAGGCUACGGUACAGGAUGACUAUGCGUCCCAUUAGUUAGUUGGUAAGGUAACGGCUUACCAAGGCAGCGAUGGGUAGGGGCCCUGAGAGGGGGAUCCCCCACACUGGUACUGAGACACGGACCAGACUCCUACGGGAGGCAGCAGUGAGGAAUAUUGGACAAUGGGCGGGAGCCUGAUCCAGCCAUGCCGCGUGCAGGAAGACGGUCCUAUGGAUUGUAAACUGCUUUUGUACGGGAAGAACAAGGGGCACGUGUGCCCUUCUGACGGUACCGUAAGAAUAAGGAUCGGCUAACUCCGUGCCAGCAGCCGCGGUAAUACGGAGGAUCCGAGCGUUAUCCGGAAUCAUUGGGUUUAAAGGGUCCGUAGGCGGGCCAUUAAGUCAGGGGUGAAAGUCUGCGGCUCAACCGUAGAAUUGCCCUUGAUACUGGUGGUCUUGAGUUAUGGUGAAGUAACUAGAAUAUGUAGUGUAGCGGUGAAAUGCAUAGAUAUUACAUAGAAUACCGAUUGCGAAGGCAGGUUACUAACCAUAUACUGACGCUGAUGGACGAAAGCGUGGGGAGCGAACAGGAUUAGAUACCCUGGUAGUCCACGCCGUAAACGAUGGAUACUAGCUGUCCGGAUGCAAAUCUGGGCGGCCAAGCGAAAGUGAUAAGUAUCCCACCUGGGGAGUACGUCCGCAAGGAUGAAACU
RNAcentral lists this ribosomal RNA (786 nucleotides) under Arenibacter sp. TBL_45. Its description in RNAcentral is "bacterial SSU rRNA". It matches the Rfam family "Bacterial small subunit ribosomal RNA", at positions 112 to 901 of the family's 1533-position model. Lineage: Bacteria; Pseudomonadati; Bacteroidota; Flavobacteriia; Flavobacteriales; Flavobacteriaceae. The record is from RNAcentral.